CCUACGGGUGGCAGCAGUGAGGAAUAUUGGUCAAUGGACGCAAGUCUGAACCAGCCAUGCCGCGUGCAGGAAGACGGCUCUCUGAGUUGUAAACUGCUUUUGUACGAGGGUAAACGCAGAUACGCGUAUCUGUCUGCAAGUAUCGUACGAAUAAGGAUCGGCUAACUCCGUGCCAGCAGCCGCGGUAAUACGGAGGAGUCAAGCGUUAUCCGGAUUUAUUGGGGUUAAAGGGUGCGUAGGCGGUCGGAUAAGUUAGAGGUGAAAUCCCGAGGCUCAACUUCGGAAUUGCCUCUGAUACUGGUCGGCUAGAGAGUAGUGGAGGUAGGCGGAAUGUAUGGUGUAGCGGUGAAAUGCUUAGAGAUCAGACAGAACACCGAUUGCGAAGGCAGCUUACCAAGCUACUUCUGACGUUGAGGCACGAAAGCGUGGGGAGCAAACAGGAUUAGAUACCCCAGUAGUC
RNAcentral lists this ribosomal RNA (460 nucleotides) under uncultured bacterium. Its description in RNAcentral is "partial 16S ribosomal RNA". It matches the Rfam family "Bacterial small subunit ribosomal RNA", at positions 338 to 795 of the family's 1533-position model. The record is from RNAcentral.